Molecule: long non-coding RNA, 1562 nt
Organism: Aethina tumida (small hive beetle)
Lineage: Eukaryota; Metazoa; Arthropoda; Insecta; Coleoptera; Nitidulidae
Exons: 3
Source: RefSeq, a predicted model, not a curated record
AGCAAUUGUUUGUUUGUAAACUUAUUGCUAUAACAACAAUUUUGGUAUAAAUUUGGCGAAACGGCGAAUAUCACUUUACUUUGAAUUCAACAAUGGUACUGUUGACAUCUUCAAAAUUGCUGAAGGGAAGGUCAAAGAUGUCCGUUCAUACUAGAUAAAUCAAGGUCCCAGUUCUUGUUUGGGUUUCUACGGCAACCAAUUUUAUGGCUUACUCCAUUACAACGGUUCUUACUAGGACGAAUAAAAGAUAAAACUAAAAUGGAUUAAGAAUACAAUCAUGCCCAACCUUCAGUAGAUACAAAGAUGGACAAAUUGAUGCAGCUUAAUUCAAUAAAUGGAGAUGCUGCUGUAAAAUAUGAACCACUUGUACCAGGGUCUACAACUAAUGCGGCCAACUCAAGGAAUGAAUAAAUUAAAUCGUUCAACAACCAAAAGUGGACAAUAAUCGUAUAAUUUGAGAAAAGGGAAAGAAAACAUGAGAAAAUUAAGAAUAGUUUAUCGAGACAUUUCGAUAAUUAGAAACAUGAAUGAGAACAGUCGAAAUCAAUAGUGAUAGUGAUCUUGUUAUGGCUUAGAGGUAUUAUGGCUUAUCUAUGCUGUCCCUAUCAUACAAACACAAAUUUCAAUCUGAAGACGAAUUUUAAGCAAUUGAGGCUCAAUUUUUAUAUUCUUUAAAUCGCCUAGUGAAGGUUAUAAUGAAUUAAGGAGUAUUAAAUUUUAGCAUCAGUUGCUUAAAAUUGUUCUUCGGAUUGGAAGGUUUUUUAAAAAUUUCAAAUCUUAAAACUGUGUUAAACGAUUGUUCAUCAAAUAUUAAAUUUGUCAGAAUUUUUAGCAGUCUUUAAAUUUUAGAAUUUUGCAAAGAUAUUUUAACUAGUUUUCUUAGCAACUCCUUUUUGUAUAGGAACUAGCAAGUGUAGUUCGGGUGAAGUGCGGAGCAACAUAUAAUUAACAUUUUAAUUCAAAAGCUUCUUUUGAGAAAUAAGAUGCUGAAAUCUUGGUACUGCUCACUUUAUCAGAAUUACAUUUUCUCGAUUUUUAUAGAAAAAGGGUUGCCAGGGAACUUGUUAAAAUAUCUUUGCAAAUGUGAUUUUCACACAAAUUUACUUCCAAUCAAACAUUUUAUCUUAAAAAAUCGUUUAAUUACAUUGUAAUCUUAAAAUUUUGCAAAGAUAUUUUAACUAGUUUUUUUAGCAACCUUUUUGUAUAGGAACUUGCAAAUGUAGUUCGGGUGAAUUGAGGUGUGUUAAAUUUUUGUCAAACAAAAUGCUGAAACUUUGGUACUACUUACUUCAUCGGAAUUACAUUUGCUCGAUUUUAUAGAAAAAGGGUUGUUAGGAAACUUAGUUAAAAUACCUUUGCAAAUAUGAUUAAUAUAAAUUUAGUACCAGGGAUUCGACAGUUUUUCUAAUUUUUUAUUUAUUAGUAGAUAUUUUAUCCGUAUUUUUAAAUUUUUAAACCAUUUGACAAAAAUUUACUAAUUUUAUCAAAAAAAGCCUGACUACUUAAGCCACAUUAAGAUUUAUUCAUCCUAUAUUUAACCUUGUCAAAAAUGUUUGCGAAUA